RNAcentral lists this long non-coding RNA (314 nucleotides) under Mytilus galloprovincialis (Mediterranean mussel). Lineage: Eukaryota; Metazoa; Mollusca; Bivalvia; Mytilida; Mytilidae. The record is from RNAcentral.
UUUAUAAAAACCUCUCAAUUAUUUCUGAAUUUGUAAUAUUCUAUGUGUCUUUAGUUCAGUUAAGUAAGAGUUAUUUCCCUUUUAGCAAGUGUAACUUCAUAUUGUUUAUGUAUCAAUGAAUUUUAGACAGUAAUUUUUUUAAAGGAAAUAACUCAAAUUUGAAUCCUCUUUACGCUUGGAAAGUCUUAAUUUAAUAUAUUUCACAAUAUUAAUUUUCUACUUAAAAUUAAUUCUAAUGCCUUAAAGAGAAGAAAUCUUAUAUCAAGGAUAUAUCAUGUAUCUCAAGUGUCUCCCUUAUUGCUGAUAAUCUUCAA